RNAcentral lists this long non-coding RNA (1140 nucleotides) under Canis lupus familiaris (dog). RNAcentral's name for it is "lncRNA (ENSCAFG00030003363.1)". Lineage: Eukaryota; Metazoa; Chordata; Mammalia; Carnivora; Canidae. The record is from RNAcentral.
CACCCCUUGGAGCUGUCGCCUUCGCCUCUGCCACCACCGACUCAGGCACCGCCGCCGCCUCGCCGCUGCUCUUCCUGCUCUGGUCGCCUUCCUCCGCCCCUUCCCAGGCCUCCCUGCCCUAGUGCGGAGCCAAUCCCCGCCCGCCGCCCCGGGCGCUGUGCCCAAUCGCCGCAGUCUUCCCGCCCACUUCGUUGCCCCGCCCCCGGGGUCAAGCAUUGACCAAUCACUUUGCGAGGUUCCCACACCGGCUUUCCCGAUUGGACCACGGCCUCACCGACAUGGCCCCAGCUAAUUGGUAGAUCCUGGGUUCGACCGUCCCGGAAUCGGGGCGUGAGUCCAGGGCCGGGAAGACAAGAAAGUCACCUCCGGACUACAGUUCCCAGCAUGCACUUCAAGGGCCUCUUUCGACGUGUGCUCUCGGGAAACGUAGUUCGCUGUGGAGCAAGAUUUAAAUGUGCAGGUGGCUGUUGAAGUUAAGAGAACUUAGGUAACACCUGGGCUGGACGUUAAGUCAAGGCUACGAACCCGCGUCCCUCCUCCCCCUUUUAUGGAGCCAAAAUAUGUAUCGAAGAACACACAUUUAAGAGUUUGUAAUGUGUUAAAGCUCUUUCUCGCUCUUUGUUUUAUUUAGAAAAUUUGAAUUGAACACAGUGAUAUCAGCAUGGAGGGAAAAUACAACAGCUGGACUGCGUUCGAAGUAUUUUUUUGGAACUUAGAUGGAACAGGGCCAUAUUCGUGGAAACCGGAGUGGAACUCGCUCUCCCUUUUUCUUUUCCUGACAAAGCAAAAGGAAAGAAACCCCAUCCAGGGCAGAUCAUCUCAAUGCUAGUAUUCGUUUUUAGGAGGGCCACCAGGAACAAGAAGGAAGAGAGGGGUAAAAGGAUCACCUAUCUGCAGCAGCAGAGCGGGUGCAUGGCCAUAAGAAGAGGAGGAAGAGUGUUCUCCAUUACCCUCUCCUUCCUCUCCCUACGCCUGGGAGUUGUGGUGUUUAUGUGCACCUGUCUGGGAAUGGGCUGCUGCAGUCAUAAGGAAUGUCCAGGACAAGAUAAAAAAAUUCCUUCCUUGAACUGGAAGGUUUGAAAUAAAGAUAUUUCGUGCUUAUUUUCUGCCUGGGCCUUUUGAGAUAUUGUCUUAGUCUGU